Molecule: transfer RNA, 76 nt
Filed under: Chloroflexota bacterium
Lineage: Bacteria; Bacillati; Chloroflexota
Also listed under: 2 other names
Description: Chloroflexi bacterium tRNA-Asp
Rfam family: tRNA
About the family: Transfer RNA (tRNA) molecules are approximately 80 nucleotides in length. Their secondary structure includes four short double-helical elements and three loops (D, anti-codon, and T loops). Further hydrogen bonds mediate the characteristic L-shaped molecular structure. tRNAs have two regions of fundamental functional importance: the anti-codon, which is responsible for specific mRNA codon recognition, and the 3' end, to which the tRNAs corresponding amino acid is attached (by aminoacyl-tRNA synthetases). tRNAs cope with the degeneracy of the genetic code in two manners: having more than one tRNA (with a specific anti-codon) for a particular amino acid; and 'wobble' base-pairing, i.e. permitting non-standard base-pairing at the 3rd anti-codon position.
Source: RNAcentral
GGCCCCGUGGUGUAGCGGUUAACAUGCAGCCCUGUCACGGCUGAGAUCGACGGUUCGAAUCCGUUCGGGGUCGCCA